This 1736-nucleotide ribosomal RNA is filed under the name Triticum aestivum (bread wheat). RNAcentral's name for it is "partial small subunit ribosomal RNA". The record is from RNAcentral. Lineage: Eukaryota; Viridiplantae; Streptophyta; Magnoliopsida; Poales; Poaceae.
CCCAAACAGAGAAGGGGAGAGAGGCGGGGGAAGAGGGGUGGGUGGGGCGGGACGAGAGGGGGGAGACGCCCACACAACACCUCCCCUCCUCCUCGUUCUUGGUGCUCGACGACGACGACGGCGACGACGGUUGCGACGUGUCGGACCCGAGCGGCUAGUAACUAACGCGUAGAUAAUGGAAGGAGAAGACACGAUUUGUUAGGGUAGAUAGGGAAUAUAUAUAGGAGGACCAGGAACGGUUAGAGAGGAGUGAAGAUCUAAAGCCCCUGACGGGGAGGGAUGGCAUCGCAACGAUUCAUCAACGAAGAAGAAGAACCAAAGAAAAGAACUAACGAAACCCAGAGGCCAAAAAACCCAGGAGCCAAAGAACCAGGAGGGGACUUAGAACAUCUCAAGCAAGGAAAGCGGCAGCCAUCGGUACCCGCUGUCCUAAGGCGGCGGCCGAGUGGACGUCGUCAUGAGCGUCAGGGGACAGGUAAGACGCGGAGUAGUGGAGGUGGAGUUAAGGUACUCCAUGAGACGGAGCAGACUAUCUCUUUCCAUACACCGACUCAACGAACGACUCUCCGUCUUCGAUCGGGGUAAGCAAGUUCAAGAAGGGAUGACAUGGUCCGAGAACUUGGUUCUCUAAAACGCCCGUAGAAGAAACGGCGGAUUGGUAUUAAAACAACUACGACUCUCUUAACUCGUACCAUCGGGUAAUUCCAAUGGACCGGUGGGUCACUUACCAGUUGGUUACCUAGACCUCCCUACCAGUCCUUCCGUUCGUCUCGUAUACCCCCAAGACGUUCGUAGUGGUUACUCGACCUUACCACGAGGUCGUGAACCACCAUGGGGACAACAGUUCUUUGAACACUCCGAUCUACAAGGACACCUGUUCAUAGGAUUGAAGUUGAAACAACCGGCAGAUAACCCCGGUGCUCCUUUGAGGGACUUUUCUCAACUUCGAUGCUGAGUUACGUCUCAAAUAUAAGCACCCGCACCUAGUCAAUUUCUGAGACACUUCCUUCUCUUCGACUCUCUAUUCGGACCUAUACUCGUGGACUUACUCCGUGACGUGCACGAACACCUUCGUCUCAAGGGUCGUCUGUAAUAACUACACGCAGAUUUGGUCCGACACUGGUAGGACCUUCUAGAAGAGUUUGGUUACCUACUCAGGUACCUGAUGAUGUUCUUCGUCGUCGACUCUCUCGACCGGUAGGACUUGCCGUGAGACUCCCUCCUUUCGGGUUCGGGGGUGGAAUCGGGCUCGUAGAGGGGGAAAUUGAGGCGGCCCUACUUCGCAGGCUUUUGCCCCGCCACUAGAUUUGAACCAGGCAGACUUAGACUACUGUUCCCACCUCUACUAACCACAACGUAUAUGGCCCUACUACUCACGACCGGAUACGGACAGUACUAGACGCGCGAAAUGGUUGGCAUACUACCCAGGCACCCGCUUACUACUAGGAGCAACCCGAACUAACUACAAACUGCGACAAGGAUAAUAAAUAAGAAAGACACGUUAGACUGAAACCUUUUCAACUGUAACAAAUAACCAAACCCCAUUCAAUUGUUCCGGUCCACCGGUAGGUUCACAGCCUAUUAUUAGUCGGUCCAUAACACACGGACCUUUUUUAUCGACACUAUACUAUAACAGUACACGACCACGAAAACACACGAUCAUCACCAUCAUGAUCUGUCCGUCCGUCUGUCCGAGACAAUUACUAACUAAACGUAAGUAUUAAAGGGAAAGGAAC